UCCGCCGGGGCCCGCCACCGCCACUGCAGCGCUGCUCGGGGCCGGGGCUGCCCUCACGGAACCCUCCCUUCAGCGCGGUGUCGCUCCGGACAUCAGGCUGGCGACAGGGGCGGACGCAGCGGGUUGCUCCCCUGUGGGACUCCUGGUUGUGCUCCAUGCAUCACAUCCCUGCCUCACUGAUUCUGCACUGACCCAGAGGCACAGCCUCCCUGGGAAGGGUUUUCCUGGCUCCUCACCCUGUUUUCUGGAGAGGAAGGAAGCGAGUGGAAGGGAACACCAAGAUGAGAUGGCUCUCUAGCCUUCUUCUCUUACUGAUGCUUUGACUUGAGGGUGCUCCUCUGCAAUCUACCAAGGUGCACAAUUUGCAAAAUUACCUACUGCCUCCAAUCCCAGCCUUGUCCCAUCCAUGGGAUUCUCCGUCCUGUUCUGUCUGGGGCCUUAUCUGAUACUGGCAGGACCAUUCCCUGGUGUGUUCAGUUAUGAAGCUGCUCCAGGAUAUUAAAACUUCUACACUGCGAAGUUUUGAGCUGUCAGAGGAGCACAUUCCAGUGGUUCCACCAUGAAGUGACUGCAACAGAAGCCAAGAAAUCCUGCAGGUCAGCUGCCCAUGCUCAGCUGAGAAGAAACCAACACAGAGUUCAGCAGCACUGGCAGCUUUGCUCCAUGCACCCCUGUAAACUUGCUAAAGAAACCUUUCCAGAGCCUUCACCACAGCUGCAAAGCACAAACCCCACAACUGUGCUCUGCCAGAGGAAGAAAGUAAGAAUAUCCUAAGGGAAAAUUCACAGAGGAUCCUAGGAAGUGCUUACUUUCACCUCAGUUUGCACAUGUGUCUAGUAACAAAAUGACAGGAUCUUUGUGGUAUUUGCAGAAGUCCAUGAGCCUUAACCCCAACCUUCUGAAGAAAGAACCAGACCCAGAGAAAAGUUCCUGCAAUUAAAAGAAACCAGGUGGCAACCUCUGGAAGAAGAAUGUUGAGACUCAAACUUGGCCUUCCAGCCUGGAUGUCCAUCAGGCCUUGAUAACCAAAAUGCACCAGGAAGAUGUGCAAUAACUUCAUUGCCAUAUGCCAGAGAUCAAUGGACAAAAUACCCUGCAAGGGCCUGAGGAGGCUCCCUGCUUGCCUAAUAUCCAUGAAUCCAAAUGGCAAAGAGAACAUGGCCAAUGCCACUUAAUCCCAGUGUGAGCAAAGGCUGUCCUUGUACCCAAGAAACAACUGAGACAGGACCGAGACCUCCAGGGAUCUCUGCAGGAGCAAAGCCUCCUCUGUGGAAGAUUAAAGCUUGGUGCAAGCUCGAAGGUCACCUCUGUAUAAGCAGUGGGAAAGGAACAGCACAAAGCUUGGGAUCACCUGAGCUUGCUGGCAUCCAGCUGCUUAGCAGUGUUGAGGUUUAUUGCACUGGAGAUUCCACAAAGGGUUUUCAUCCAUCAGAGCUCUGGGUUCUGCAGAGUCUGGUGGAUAUCCUUAAACAUUUUGGAGUGGCUGUUUUGAGGGUAGCUGGAAAAACAUGAGCCAGCAAGACAUUGUAGAAAGAUGAAUUCACAAGCAGAAAAUUUUAGAGAGAGUAUUUGAUAAUGAAAGAGUGAUUCCACCAACUUGCACCAUUGAUUUAUUUAAAUUUAUGCUAUAAAAUGGACAGCAGAGGAAAGUCAAAACUUGUACUGAUUAUUUUUCUUUCUCUUCCCCCCCUGUCCCUGAUCUUUUAUUUAUUAAACUGCUCUGGGUGCACCUUUCAAAUGA
Molecule: long non-coding RNA, 1741 nt
Organism: Parus major (Great Tit)
Lineage: Eukaryota; Metazoa; Chordata; Aves; Passeriformes; Paridae
Exons: 6
Source: RefSeq, a predicted model, not a curated record